This is a long non-coding RNA of Gasterosteus aculeatus aculeatus (three-spined stickleback), 596 nucleotides long. RefSeq lists it as uncharacterized. The record is from RefSeq and is a predicted model, not a curated record. Lineage: Eukaryota; Metazoa; Chordata; Actinopteri; Perciformes; Gasterosteidae.
AUAUUUAAAAUAAAAUGUGCUGCUGUAGAAUAAAGAAUGGAUCAUAAACAGAAGCAGAAGUUAGAGAAAACCUCACAUCUGAUGUUCAUCUGUGGUCUCUGCAUUUCCACAUUUCUCUGCAUGUUUCACACCUUUCAAACUGUCUCUUGACACGAAGCGGAAGCGUUUCUCACAAGCUGAGUGUCAGCGUGGACGUGAGGAUGGGACACACCUUGUUUGGUGCGUUGGGGCUUUUCUCGCUGAAUAUUCUCCUCUACUGUGGACACGCUCAAGAUGCUUUGCUGCAUAUUGAGCCAAACUGGUCCCCUUUAUUUACUGGAGAGAAAGUUUCCUUCAUAUGUGACUCAGGGGAAGGAAACGACACUGACUGGAAUUACUCAUUCAGUAGUAAUGAUAAUUUCUUUACCACCAACAGAACAGUGAAUAGAUAUAAAUCAUCAUCUCUAACUAGAGGAGAUAGUGGUGAAUAUCAGUGUGUUGCUGAUCACAAGAUCCGUCCUGUUACAAGAGAAAGUAAUAAAGUCUCUCUAACUGUAUCAGGUAAGUGAUCAAAGUUUUACCAUCACGACGAGUUCAUUAAAGCACUUUUAUAUUAA